Non-coding RNA from Carica papaya (papaya), 342 nucleotides. NCBI's taxonomy places the organism in Eukaryota, Viridiplantae, Streptophyta, Magnoliopsida, Brassicales, Caricaceae. The record is from RefSeq and is a predicted model, not a curated record.
GGAUAAAAAGAGAAGAAAAUAAGAAUAGGGAGGAGAGGGAGAGACAAGAGAGGAAGAGAAAGAGAGAGCAUUGAGAUGAUUGGCAUGACGGAGGGAACAAAAAGAAGAAAAAGAUUUGAGAGGGGACACUGCUAGUGGCCUAACCACCGUGUGGCCGUCCCUCUCAUGUAAGUUCUUCUUCCGAACGUCCAAACAGGAGAGAAGUGUGCGAUGUGUGCAGUCGGAAAGAAGGGACUUCGGGUGUGGCAGUUUCGCAGAACAGAGGAAUCCAAUGCGGUGGCAAUGGUGGACAUGGCAGGGGAAAGAGGAAACAACCAAAGGGAAGAAGAGGGAAAAAAAAAA